Molecule: non-coding RNA, 1465 nt
Organism: Paramuricea clavata
Lineage: Eukaryota; Metazoa; Cnidaria; Anthozoa; Malacalcyonacea; Plexauridae
Source: the annotation of a GenBank genome assembly
AAAUAAUUUAAUCAUCAUCAUGGUGGUAUAUGUUUAUCCACUCAUAAAUUAUGUGCUCACACAUAAAUGUACAUAUAUUAUAGGGACUAAUUAAUUCGUUGACUGUACGGUCAUAUAUCCUGCUUAAUUUUAGAAUGUUUGGGUUUGUAAUCCAAGUGAGUAUAUAUACAUUUUAAGACCUAACCAGGAAAAGUGUUUAUCCGUGUAGUCGACGUCUAUUAAUCUCUACUUUAUCUUUGCAAGCUCAGACCCAUGCAUGCAGAAGCAAAGGUAAAGGCCAUAGUCUUUUUGGUAUUUCUUCCCGCCGUGUGAACAAGGGUAAAGCCAAAGGAGUCAUCACGAUAGAGAGUCACAGCUAGCAUAGGUUGAUGGGGUCGUGAAAACAUAAUAACUAGAUAUAAAAUAACAAAAAUAAAAGUGUUAAGAUUUCUAUUUACACGACAAUUGUAAGAGUGUGUGUUUCUAGAUAUUAAAACUUAGUGAAACAUCGUAGCAUAAAGACGUUCAAUCUUGAGAGAAUUUCUAAAAGCGUUCAAAGACGUCUGUGAAUGAGACAAGCUAAAUAACUUGGCUCAACUUCAAAAAUUAGGGUGCAGCCAAAACUAUGCAUGUGCGUGAGCGACAGAGCGAGACGCGCCACUCAUAAAUGUAGUUUCCUGGUAGUUUCGUUGAGCGCUAGCCCGCUCAGCCACGCGCAGUCUUUCUAAGCGGGCAACUUGUGGCAAGUCUAGUUUUGUGAAUGUAUAUUUGAGUAUGGUAUAGUAUACCAUUCAUAUCCCACCUAUUCUUCUUUGCCAUGGUUGUACAUAUAAAUGUAUAGAUUAAAUAAUAAUAGUACAGAACUGGCAAGAAUUGCAGCCAAAAUUAUGUGCGUGACUAAGCGAGGUACACCCACGCAUAAAUGUAGUUUCCUUGAAAACUCUCUUGUACUCACAGGCACUCUUUCUAUUCUCCAAUAUACAUCUUACGCAACUUGUGGCAAGUUUUAGUUUUGUGUAUGUAUAUUUGAGGAUGGUAUAGUAUACCAUGCAUAUACCACCUAUCUUUCUUUGCCAGAUUAUGUAGAGUAUGGUGUUCGUCAGUAAUAAAGUCGCAGAAUAGCCAAUAGGGAUGCAUGUAUAUAAAGGCUCUUUGAAACGAGGCCAACAUGUUGGUUCAAUAGCAUUCAACCGAUUGUUGGAUGCAACAUGUCGGCCUGAUUGACUUUGUUUAAAAUUUUCAUCCAACGUUGUGCAACAUCAUCCAACAUUAUUGAAUCAACAGUAUUAGACAAUUUUAGACUCGUUUGAACGGCAUAAUGAUGGACUUUGUUUCCAAGUCAACCGUCAAAAUUGAGUAUUGCAAAUUCGUUCCUUAUAUCCUCAGCUGAACAGUGUUUCCUGAGCGGCCGAGGGCUGAGAAUCACAGCCGGCAACAGGGUACAACUUUCUUUGAUAUUGAAGAUAUUCCAGUAUUUGUAAAAUAA